GAUGAACGCUAGCGGCAGGCCUAACACAUGCAAGUCGAGGGGCCAGCAAAAAAAAGUAACUUGUUACUUUUGUUGGCGACCGGCGGACGGGUGCGUAACGCGUAUGCAACCUACCUUACACAGGGGGAUAACGGAUGGAAACGUCCACUAAUACCCCAUAACAUCUUUGAGGGCAUCCUCGAAGGUUGAAAACUCCGGUGGUGUAAGAUGGGCAUGCGUUGUAUUAGGUAGUUGGUGAGGUAAAGGCUCACCAAGCCUACGAUACAUAGGGGGACUGAGAGGUUAGCCCCCCACACUGGUACUGAGACACGGACCAGACUCNUACGGGAGGCAGCAGUGAGGAAUAUUGGUCAAUGGGGGCAACCCUGAACCAGCCAUGCCGCGUGCAGGAAGACGGCUCUAUGAGUUGUAAACUGCUUUUGUACAGGGAUAAAUCAUAAUACGUGUAUUAUGUUGAAGGUACUGUACGAAUAAGGAUCGGCUAACUCCGUGCCAGCAGCCGCGGUAAUACGGAGGAUCCAAGCGUUAUCCGGAUUUAUUGGGUUUAAAGGGUGCGUAGGCGGCACAGUAAGUUAGCGGUGAAAUCGCGGGGCUUAACCCCGCAACUGCCGUUAAAACUGCUGAGCUAGAGAUUAGAUGCGGUAGGCGGAAUGUGUAGUGUAGCGGUGAAAUGCUUAGAGAUUACACAGAACACCGAUUGCGAAGGCAGCUUACCAAUCUAUGUCUGACGUUGAGGCACGAAAGCGUGGGUAGCAAACAGGAUUAGAUACCCUGGUAGUCCACGCAGUAAACGAUGAUAGCUCGUUGUCGGCGAUACACAGUCGGUGACUUAGCGAAAGCGUUAAGCUAUCCACCUGGGGAGUACGUUCGCAAGAAUGAAACUCAAAGGAAUUGACGGG
This 899-nucleotide ribosomal RNA is filed under the name uncultured bacterium. RNAcentral describes it as "bacterial SSU rRNA". It matches the Rfam family "Bacterial small subunit ribosomal RNA", at positions 28 to 917 of the family's 1533-position model. The record is from RNAcentral.